GACUAAUGAUCAUAGACUCACUCUCAUGAAAAUAUAAAAUUAUAGAAUUUGAGUAAAUAACAACAAUACUCCUUAAAACUUUCAGCGAAACGUUUUAUCGAUUCUUUUACUAUGUUAGUCUUCGUACUUCCAACUUUGUAAUGAAAUUGUAAUUUUGUCAAUAAUUUCGUUAAAUUCACUCAUAAACAUUAAUUGGCAACAUCUGUUUUGCCACGUGGUAAACACGUGUAAGUUUAGAUAUAAAAAAACUUGAGGAUUUGAAUUUUUAUUUUUUUCUUAUUUUUUUCUCUCUUAUCUUCCUUCUUUCCCCACCAACCGAUCAAGGGCCUGCAGCAAAGGCAGAAGACUAAAUCUGGCCCGGCCAACAUCUAGAUAGCGGUUGGAUCCAAAUCGAUCCUGAACCCGUUGACCUGACGAGGAAGAAGAAAGAUUGUCAGAUCGGCAAUAACAAGGGCUAAUCUUGCUCUAGCCGCCACCUCGACAUCGAAUAUGGCAGAUCCGACCCUUUAUCACUGUCGGUAGGCCCAAAUCGAUGAGGAAGAGAAGACAGAAGAAUAUGGAGAAAAUAAAAUAAUAGAAAAUUUUUAAUACAUAUUUAUCAAAUAUUGUAAUUGAAAAUAAAUAAAUUUCAAAAUUUUCUAUUUUAAUGAGUUUUUAUUUUUUAAACAUAAUACAAAUGUUUAAUAUAUUUGAUCAAAUAUAAAAUAAAUAAUUUUUAUAUUUUUAUAAGUUUUUAUUUUUAUUUUUCAAAUAUGAUAUAGAAUUUAAUAUAUUUUUUCAAAUAUGAAAAUUUAAAAUAAAUAAAUUUCAAAAAUUUCUACUUUUUAAUUAGUUUUGUUAUUUUUCAAAUAUAACAUAGAUUUUUAAUAUAUUUUAUCAAAUAUUAUAAUUUAAAAUAAAUAAAUUUUAUUAUUUUCUAUUUUUGAUAAGUUUCUUUAAUUUUUUAAAUACAAUAUUUAUUUUUAAUAUAAUUUAAAAUUAAUUAUUUUAAAAAUUCUACAUCAUCCAAUCCGUAUGUUACUUAAUGCUACAUGUGCACCAUACAACAUCAAUUGGCAUUUAAUGUAUGAGUUUAGAAAAAUAAUAAAGAGGCGUCUCAUUCACAAAAUUAAAAAUUUUUGUAAGGAAAAUGAUAUUAAGAAAAAUGUCGAUUCCAAAGAAUAAGUGAUUUUUCUUAUCAUGAAAAAAUAAAAAGAUAAUAAAAGCCACACAAGGACAAUGUUUAUUAAGUAAAAAAUUACCUAAUAAUUGGACAAAUAUGAUAUUUUGAUCAUUAUAAAUGCAGUAUUUGAAUGUUUCUUAAACCAAUUAA
RNAcentral lists this long non-coding RNA (1312 nucleotides) under Durio zibethinus. RNAcentral describes it as "long non-coding RNA (DZIB_LNC002109)". The record is from RNAcentral. Lineage: Eukaryota; Viridiplantae; Streptophyta; Magnoliopsida; Malvales; Malvaceae.